RNAcentral lists this ribosomal RNA (1767 nucleotides) under Xanthomonas hyacinthi DSM 19077. RNAcentral's name for it is "bacterial LSU rRNA". It matches the Rfam family "Bacterial large subunit ribosomal RNA", at positions 1 to 1807 of the family's 2925-position model. The record is from RNAcentral. Lineage: Bacteria; Pseudomonadati; Pseudomonadota; Gammaproteobacteria; Lysobacterales; Lysobacteraceae.
GUUAUAUGGUCAAGCGACUAAGCGUAUACGGUGGAUGCCUUGGCAGUCAGAGGCGAUGAAGGACGUGGCAGCCUGCGAAAAGUGUCGGGGAGCUGGCAACAAGCUUUGAUCCGGCAAUGUCCGAAUGGGGAAACCCACCGCUUAGGCGGUAUCGUGCAGUGAAUACAUAGCUGUACGAGGCGAACCCGGGGAACUGAAAUAUCUAAGUACCCGGAGGAAAAGAAAUCAACCGAGAUUCCGUCAGUAGCGACGAGCGAACGCGGACUAGCCCAAAAGUGUCUUAUAUUCUAGUCGAACAGCGUGGAAAAGCUGGCCGUAGACGGUGAUAGCCCGGUAGACGAAAGGGUACAUGACAUGAAAUUGAGUAAGGCGAGGCACGUGAAACCUUGUCUGAACAUGGGGGGACCAUCCUCCAAGGCUAAAUACUCCUGACUGACCGAUAGCGAACUAGUACCGUGAGGGAAAGGCGAAAAGAACCCCGGAGAGGGGAGUGAAAUAGACCCUGAAACCGUAUACGUACAAGCAGUGGAAGCCCGCAAGGGUGACUGCGUACCUUUUGUAUAAUGGGUCAGCGACUUACUGUCAGUGGCAAGCUUAACCGUAUAGGGGAGGCGAAGGGAAACCGAGUCUGAAUAGGGCGAAUAGUCUCUGGCAGUAGACCCGAAACCGAGUGAUCUAUCCUUGACCAGGUUGAAGGUGCGGUAACACGCACUGGAGGACCGAACCCACAUCUGUUGCAAUAGAUGGGGAUGAGUUGAGGAUCGGAGUGAAAGGCUAAACAAACUCGGAGAUAGCUGGUUCUCCUCGAAAGCUAUUUAGGUAGCGCCUCGUGCGAACACUGUUGGGGGUAGAGCACUGUUAUGGCUAGGGGGUCAUUGAGACUUACCAAACCAUGGCAAACUCCGAAUACCAACACGUGAUACACGGGAGACACACGGCGGGUGCUAACGUCCGUCGUGAAAAGGGAAACAACCCAGACCCGCAGCUAAGGUCCCAAAGUCAUAGCUAAGUGGAAAACGAUGUGGAAAGGCAUAGACAGCCAGGAGGUUGGCUUAGAAGCAGCCACCCUUUAAAGAAAGCGUAAUAGCUCACUGGUCGAGUCGGUCUGCGCGGAAGAUUUAACGGGGCUAAGCUAUGCACCGAAGCUCGGGGUGUACAGAUUUUGAUCUGUACGCGGUAGAGGAGCGUUCCGUAGGCCUGUGAAGGUGGAUUGUAAAGUCUGCUGGAGGUAUCGGAAGUGCGAAUGCUGACAUGAGUAACGAUAAGGGGGGUGAAAAGCCUCCCCGCCGAAAGCCCAAGGUUUCCUCGCGCAACGUUCAUCGGCGCAGGGUGAGUCGGCCCCUAAGGCGAGGCAGAAAUGCGUAGUCGAUGGGAAGCAGGUUAAUAUUCCUGCACUUUUCUACAGUGCGAUGUGGGGACGGAGAAGGUUAGGUCUACCAGGCGUUGGUUGUCCUGGGGAAAGGCGGUAGGCAUGAUUCUUAGGCAAAUCCGGGAAUCUUUAUGCCGAGCACCGAGACGAGUCCUUUGGGACGAAGUGACUGACACCACGCUUCCAGGAAAAGCCACUAAGCUUCAGCUGUAGAAAAACCGUACCGCAAACCGACACAGGUAGGCAGGGUGAGAAUCCCAAGGCGCUUGAGAGAACUCGGGUGAAGGAACUAGGCAAAAUGGCACCGUAACUUCGGGAGAAGGUGCGCCUCUUGGUGUGGUCACGUGCGUGACUGAGCAUCGAGGGGUCGCAGUAACCUGGCCGCUGCGACUGUUUAU